AAAAAGACAAACCCUAGUUUCCGUGUCCAAUGUUUGACCGUCCGUCUUAUUUGAAAAAAAUAUAAAAAAAUUAAAAAGACAAAUCACGCAUAAAAUAUUAAUCAUGUUUUAUCAUCUAACAACAAUGAAAAUACGAAUUAUAAAAAAAUUUCAUAUAAGACGGACGGUCAAAGUUGGACACGAAAAUUCAGGGUUUGUCUUUUU
Molecule: microRNA precursor, 204 nt
Filed under: Oryza sativa Japonica Group (Japanese rice)
Lineage: Eukaryota; Viridiplantae; Streptophyta; Magnoliopsida; Poales; Poaceae
Description: MIR812 microRNA precursor family
Rfam family: MIR812 microRNA precursor family
Source: Rfam by way of RNAcentral